UUGGAGGGCAAGUCUGGUGCCAGCAGCCGCGGUAAUUCCAGCUCCAAUAGCGUAUAUUAAAGUCGUUGCAGUUAAAAAGCUCGUAGUUGAAUUUCGAGACCGGCUUAUUGGUCGUGCUUUUGUACGUACUGGUAUAAUCGGUUUCUCCUUUCUGACGAACUAUAAUGCCAUUAAUUUGGUGUUAUAGGGAAUCAGGACUGUUACUUUGAAAAAAUUAGAGUGUUUAAAGCAGGCUCACGCUUGAAUACAUUAGCAUGGAAUAACGGAAUAGGACGUUUGAUUCUAUUUUGUUGGUCUCUAGGAUCGACGUAAUGAUUAAUAGGGAUAGUUGGGGGCAUUAGUAUUCAAUUGUCAGAGGUGAAAUUCUUGGAUUUAUUGAAGACUAACUACCGCGAAAGCAUUUGCCAAGGAUGUUUUCAUUAAUCAAGAACGAAAGUUAGGGGAUCGAAGACGAUCAGAUACCGUCGUAGUCUUAACCAUAAACUAUGCCGACUAGGGAUCGGAUGAUGUUAAUUUUUUAAUGACUCAUUCGGCGCCUUACGGGAAACCAAAGUGUUUGGGUUC
This 564-nucleotide ribosomal RNA is filed under the name uncultured Glomeromycotina. RNAcentral's name for it is "SSU rRNA". It matches the Rfam family "Eukaryotic small subunit ribosomal RNA", at positions 548 to 1114 of the family's 1831-position model. The record is from RNAcentral. Lineage: Eukaryota; Fungi; Glomeromycota.